RNAcentral lists this ribosomal RNA (445 nucleotides) under uncultured bacterium. RNAcentral's name for it is "partial 16S ribosomal RNA". It matches the Rfam family "Bacterial small subunit ribosomal RNA", at positions 354 to 796 of the family's 1533-position model. The record is from RNAcentral.
GUGAGGAAUAUUGGUCAAUGGGCGAGAGCCUGAACCAGCCAAGUCGCGUGAAGGAAGAAGGAUCUAUGGUUCGUAAACUUCUUUUGCAGGGGAAUAAAGUGCAGGACGUGUCCUGUUUUGUAUGUACCCUGAGAAUAAGGAUCGGCUAACUCCGUGCCAGCAGCCGCGGUAAUACGGAGGAUCCGAGCGUUAUCCGGCUUUAUUGGGUUUAAAGGGUGCGUAGGUGGUUUGAUAAGUCAGCGGUGAAAGUUUGCAGCUUAACUGUAAAAAUGCCGUUGAAACAGUCGAACGUGAGUGUAAAUGAGGUAGGCGGAAUGCGUGGUGUAGCGGUGAAAUGCAUAGAUAUCACGCAGAACUCCGAUUGCGAAGGCAGCUUACUAAGCUACAACUGACACUGAAGCACGAAAGCGUGGGGAUCAAACAGGAUUAGAUACCCGUGUAGUCC